Molecule: ribosomal RNA, 493 nt
Filed under: uncultured bacterium
Lineage: Bacteria
Description: partial 16S ribosomal RNA
Rfam family: Bacterial small subunit ribosomal RNA
Source: RNAcentral
AACGCUGGCGGCGUGCCUAAUCCAUGCAAGUCGAGCGAACAGAUGAGGAGCUUGCUCCUCUGACGUUAGCGGCGGACGGGUGAGUAACACGUGGAUAACCUACCUAUAAGACUGGGAUAACUUCGGGAAACCGGAGCUAAUACCGGAUAAUAUAUUGAACCGCAUGGUUCAAUAGUGAAAGACGGUUUUGCUGUCACUUAUAGAUGGAUCCGCGCCGCAUUAGCUAGUUGGUAAGGUAACGGCUUACCAAGGCAACGAUGCGUAGCCGACCUGAGAGGGUGAUCGGCCACACUGGAACUGAGACACGGUCCAGACUCCUACGGGAGGCAGCAGUAGGGAAUCUUCCGCAAUGGGCGAAAGCCUGACGGAGCAACGCCGCGUGAGUGAUGAAGGUCUUCGGAUCGUAAAACUCUGUUAUUAGGGAAGAACAAAUGUGUAAGUAACUAUGCACGUCUUGACGGUACCUAAUCAGAAAGCCACGGCUAACUACGUG